UUUGUUUUUCUGAUAUGAAUUUAUCUCUCCUCAUCACGUAAGAUUUGUAUCUGAUAUCUUCAUGCACAACAUUUCUGAUUGUUUUUUCUGACACAUGAAAUGUUUUUGCAAUUGACCUCAUUGAUUUUCUUGGAUUGUCUUCAAUGUUUUGCUAAACUUCCUGAAUAAAUUUAGGUGUCCUGGUAGAAUCAGAGCAUUCUGAUUGCUUCUUUCACAUUUUGAUACA
Long non-coding RNA from Octopus sinensis (East Asian common octopus), 226 nucleotides. RefSeq lists it as uncharacterized. The record is from RefSeq and is a predicted model, not a curated record. The transcript is spliced from 4 exons. Lineage: Eukaryota; Metazoa; Mollusca; Cephalopoda; Octopoda; Octopodidae.